Molecule: long non-coding RNA, 1433 nt
Organism: Magnolia sinica
Lineage: Eukaryota; Viridiplantae; Streptophyta; Magnoliopsida; Magnoliales; Magnoliaceae
Exons: 3
Source: RefSeq, a predicted model, not a curated record
AACAUUGAGCAAUGAUUUGUGUAUUGGAAAAUUUUGAGUUUCGAAUCCCUAAUUAGGGAUUUGUAGUGUCAAUUCCCUAAUUGUGGAUUAUAGAUUAAAAAACUGAAAAUCCCUAAUUAGGGAUUCAAAAUUCAAAACUCUUAAUUAGGGUGUUCGGGCGUCAGAUUUGGGUGAUCUUCUGAUAUCAACGUCAGAGGAUUACGAUUGCCAGAUCUGGUUGCUUUUCUGACAGAUUUCUGCCUAGGUAUAUCGGAAAUCGUUUGAUCUGUUUGGAUCGGAGGCGGAUCCUCGCAGGAGAUCAUGUUUCUUCUCGAUUGGAUCUAUGGAGUUCUUGCCUCGCUUGGUUUGUGGCAGAAGGAGGCCAAGAUCUUGUUUAUAGGGCUUGAUAAUGCCGGAAAGACUACCUUGCUUCAUAUGUUGAAAGACGAGAUGUUGUCUUAAGGCUUAUCAUCCUAAAUGUGUGGGCAAGGAUUCCACAUUCUUGGAGACGGGCGAUCAAUGGACUUGUAAUAGCCAAGAUGACGACGAGAUACCAAAUGUGAAUUCCCUGUUAUUUGAUUUGGAUAUGCUAAGAGUGGCAACAGAUAACUUCUCUAAUGCAAAUAAACUUGGGGAAGGCGGAUUUGGUCUUGUUUACAAGGUAAUGCAUAGAAUGUCUUCAAAGGCAUGCCAUUUUUUUUCUUGAACAAUGUUGUUAUUGAUAGAAUUAGGGACUACAUUAUGAAAAUUGAGGAGAUGGAUUCGAGAAUGUUGUAAAGUAUACCAGAUCGAUGAUGGGUAGAUGUGCGACAACGGUGGAUGACGGCCUAAGACAGAUGCAGAGAUAAACAAAAGAGAUUUAAGGUUAAGGAUUGGAGGCAUUGGACUGAUAUCAUGAUAGAAUUAGAGACUACAUGUUGGAAACUUUAGGUGUAUUUCAUUAUGAACAAUCCAUUAUAUGUACAAGAAGAGAAACUUCAGAGAGAAGCAAUAUUUUAACAGCUAAAUAAUUCAAACUAUCUAAAUCUACACAGCUGUACAUGUCUCUAUCCUCUUAACAGCUACCAGUUUUUGCAGGGUGUGUUUUGAUUCAUCAUUGAAUUAAAUUACAAUUUUUUUUUAUUCUACACAGCUGUACGUGUCUCUAUCCUCUAACAGCUGCCAGUUUUUGCAGGGUAUGCUUUGAUUCAUCAUUGAAUUAAAUUACAACUUUUAUUCUAAUAAAGUGGCCAUCACCAGAUUGUAACAUGUUGAGGGUCUAUAGUACAAUCUUGAUUGGGUUAUUUUCAAGUAAGACUUGAAAGGAAUUUAAAUGCAGUUUGAAGACUACUAUGAUACACCACUAACAUUUGCAGUUCCACUUGAGAUUUGAUUCACUUGUUCAUCAAAACAUGACCUUAUAUUAUAAAGCAUGCACUUUCCUUAAUGUGGUUUUUAAGUUGUCUAUAAAUUAA